GAUCAUGGCUCAGAUUGAACGCUGGCGGCAUGCCUUACACAUGCAAGUCGAACGGCAGCACGGGAGCAAUCCUGGUGGCGAGUGGCGAACGGGUGAGUAAUAUAUCGGAACGUGCCCAGUCGUGGGGGAUAACGCAGCGAAAGCUGUGCUAAUACCGCAUACGAUCUAUGGAUGAAAGCGGGGGAUCGCAAGACCUCGCGCGAUUGGAGCGGCCGAUAUCAGAUUAGGUAGUUGGUGGGGUAAAAGCCCACCAAGCCGACGAUCUGUAGCUGGUCUGAGAGGACGACCAGCCACACUGGAACUGAGACACGGUCCAGACUCCUACGGGAGGCAGCAGUGGGGAAUUUUGAACAAUGGGCGCAAGCCUGAUCCAGCCAUUCCGCGUGCAGGAUGAAGGCCUUCGGGUUGUAAACUGCUUUUGUACGGAACGAAACGGUCUGCCCUAAUACGGCGGGCUAAUGACGGUACCGUAAGAAUAAGCACCGGCUAACUACGUG
This 497-nucleotide ribosomal RNA is filed under the name uncultured bacterium. RNAcentral's name for it is "bacterial SSU rRNA". It matches the Rfam family "Bacterial small subunit ribosomal RNA", at positions 15 to 507 of the family's 1533-position model. The record is from RNAcentral.